UGCAGUCGAGCGGAGUGAUGGUGCUUGACUAUCACUUAGCGGCGGACGGGUGAGUAAUGCUUAGGAAUCUGCCAUUUAGUGGGGGACAACAUUCCGAAAGGAAUGCUAAUACCGCAUACGUCCUACGGGAGAAAGCAGGGGAUCUUCGGACCUUGCGCUAAAUGAUGAGCCUAAGUCGGAUUAGCUAGUUGGUGGGGUAAAGGCCUACCAAGGCGACGAUCUGUAGCGGGUCUGAGAGGAUGAUCCGCCACACUGGGACUGAGACACGGCCCAGACUCCUACGGGAGGCAGCAGUGGGGAAUAUUGGACAAUGGGCGGAAGCCUGAUCCAGCCAUGCCGCGUGUGUGAAGAAGGCCUUUUGGUUGUAAAGCACUUUAAGCGAGGAGGAGGCUACCUGGAUUAAUACUCUAGGAUAGUGGACGUUACUCGCAGAAUAAGCACCGGCUAACUCUGUGCCAGCAGCCGCGGUAAUACAGAGGGUGCGAGCGU
This 489-nucleotide ribosomal RNA is filed under the name Acinetobacter sp. DsA.N051. RNAcentral's name for it is "bacterial SSU rRNA". It matches the Rfam family "Bacterial small subunit ribosomal RNA", at positions 56 to 541 of the family's 1533-position model. Lineage: Bacteria; Pseudomonadati; Pseudomonadota; Gammaproteobacteria; Moraxellales; Moraxellaceae. The record is from RNAcentral.